CACCUCAACUGAGUUGGAAAAGUUGAAUGCAAAAGGCCACAAAGUGCUAUGCAAAACAGAUGUGUCGCAAAACUUUGACAAUAAUUAGCCAUCCACAAAUGUAAUUAAAAUUAAGAUGGGCAUGCUACAAGGUAGGAGUGGGACACAUUUUUAUUAAACAACACCAUUUGUUUUGGAUAUCAAGGUAUCAACAGAUAGAAAAACAAUGCAUACCCAUCUGACAUGACUAUGUUGAUAUAAUAGUUAUCAUUUGAGUAAUUUAAUGCCAAAAAUAGCUUGUUAAAUUAAUAUGGGGUUGUUUUCUAUGUCAUGAUAUUAAAUAGAACCACUUACCCCCCUACUCUUUUUUUUCAAGAUAAUGUUUUGCCUUGUUUUUAUAUUAUAGCCAAAGAUAGACAGGGAAGGGAAAGGAGAAAGAGAGAAUAACAUGCAUCAAAGGGUGAGUACAUGUCCUUGCACUACCAUUUUAGCCAAUAACAGAUGGUUCCCAUUCUAAUAGCCUAUAGCAUAAGAUAUAAUAAGUUAACAUACAUUAGUUGAUACCUAUAGUCAACAUUAGGGUAUUUAGUCAGGGUUAUGACAUAAAUAAAUACCAAUAAAUAGAUAAAACAUCUUUAAAUAUAGUGCAUUUGUAUUAUUAUGAGGUAGCUACAGUAUAUCAUUUAUAAUAAUCUUGUAUUUGAAGACAUUAUUGUCCAUUCAAGAAAAUGUGUUUUGGAUUAGGGCACCACAAAAAAGAGAAACAGUGCACAAUAUUGAAGUCUGAUGGAGAAAAAAUACACAAGUCAGUAAUUACAGAACCUAACCUUAUAACGGAUACAUGCAAAUUAAGAAUGACAUGGCAGGCAUGACUGUAUUUCAUGUGUUCUCAUUACCUCCGGCUGACACGGGGCUGGUAAUUUUGCGACGGUCCCUGGCGGCAGACAUCACGGCUCGUUCAGCCCGGGGGGAGGAGGGAUGAAGCUGAGAUGGACAGGGAGGAGGGAGACACCGGCUUACGACGUCAAAUAAGUACACACACACAUACACACACACACACACUCACACAGCGAGCGGGAGAGGAGAGGACAGCCGACCGGACUGCCAAUUCCCCACGGUCUACUGAAGGGAGCCUCAAUUCAUCAUUCACAACACUCUUGAUUCAGCAGAGACGGACAUUUGUUUAUUUUUACGUCAGAUUUAUUUGGAAGGGGGAAAACACACGGAGCAUCUGGAAAAAGACGCUCAUGCCGAAUAAAGGACCGUCGCUGGAUGUUACUUGUGUUGUUAUAAGGGGGGUAGGCCUAACUUGUUACAGGAUUCAAAGACGCUCGUACAGACAAAUGAACUGAAUUAUUGAGAUUCAAUAACUAAAUAACAGCGGGGGGACGAAGAAAGACAUCCACGGAUCACGCCGAGUCUUUGCCACGAACAGCACCACAGACUUCUCAAUGAAGGAGCCUGACGCAAUUAAGCUCUUCAUCGGGCAAAUCCCCCGAAACCUGGAGGAGAAGGACCUGAAGCCCAUCUUCGAGCAGUUUGGAAAGAUCUAUGAGUUGACGGUGAUAAAGGACAAAUACACAGGGAUGCACAAAGGAUGUGCCUUCCUGACAUAUUGUGCACGUGAGUCCGCCCUCAAAGCCCAGAAUGCACUGCACGAGCAGAAGACACUACCCGGGAUGAACCGCCCAAUCCAAGUGAAGCCUGCAGACAGCGAGAGCAGAGGGGAAGACAGGAAGCUGUUUGUGGGCAUGCUGGGAAAGCAGCAGACGGACACCGAUGUGAAGAAGAUGUUUGAGCCGUUCGGCAGCAUAGAGGAGUGCACGGUGCUCCGCGGGCCGGACGGCACCAGCAAAGGGUGUGCAUUUGUAAAGUACCAGAGCAACGCAGAGGCCCAGGCCGCCAUCAACACUCUGCAUGGGAGUCGUACUUUACCAGGUGCCUCGUCCAGCCUGGUGGUGAAGUUUGCUGAUUCAGAGAAGGAGCGAGGGCUGCGGCGGAUGCAGCAGGUGGCCUCUCAGCUGGGGGUCAUCAGCCCCAUGACCCUGCACCUCGGGGCCUACAACGCCUACACACAGGCCAAUAUCCAGACUCCCUCUCUCCCCUCCUAUCAAUCACCCUCCCCCCUCUCCCUCCUCCAGUUGAUGCAGCAGCAGGCCCUGGUGGCUCAGUCGGCCUACCUCUCUCCUGUUGCCACGGUGGCGGCGGUUCAGAUGCAGCAGCUCGCCGCCCUCAACCCCAACAGCAUCAUCGCCACGCCGAUCUCAUCCAUCACCCCCUCCUCAGGUGCCAGCACUCCACCCUCCAUGGCCGGCACACCGGUUCCUGCUCUGCCUCCCCCCCUCACCGUGAACAGCUACGCCUCUUUGCCAGCUCCACCCAACGGCCAUUCAGCAACUGAAGCCCUGUACACCAACGGGGUCCAUGCUUACCAAGCUCAGAGUCCGGUGCUGGACCCUAUGCAGCAAGCUUACACCGGCAUGCAGCACUACACAGCCACCUACCCCGCUGCCUACAGCCUGGUGGGACAGCCGUUCCCCCACCAGCCCACCCUGUUGGCCCAGCAGCCGCAGCAACCGCAGCAGCUGCAGCAGCUGCAGCAGCGAGAAGGUCCAGAGGGAUGCAACAUCUUCAUCUACCACCUGCCGCAGGAGUUCACCGACUCUGAGAUCCUGCAGAUGUUCCUGCCCUUCGGAAACGUCAUCUCUGCAAAGGUCUUUGUGGACCGUGCCACCAACCAGAGUAAAUGCUUUGGUUUUGUAAGUUUUGACAACCCCUCCAGUGCCCAGACUGCCAUCCAGGCUAUGAACGGCUUCCAGAUCGGCAUGAAGAGACUGAAGGUGCAGCUGAAGAGGCCCAAGGAUGCCAACAGGCCUUACUGAAGGAGACUGUCCUGUCCAUACAUAUAUCGUGGAGACGUGCGUCGCUAUGGCUACGGUUGCCUAGCAACCGCUAAAACCUCCCCCCCUCUUCCUUCUCACUGCGUUGUAAAACCUAAGAGUUCAAUCAAGAAAACCACUUGGGAUGUCCCAGCCUUUUUUGGUUGUUUGACCAACCGUAUAGCACAGGAGCAACACUUCAUGAAAGCAGUAUCACGUGUAUGCGCUAACAAAAACAACAGCAGUAAUAUCGGCGACAGAAUAAAUCUACAGAAACCGCAUCCUCAAUAUCAGAAGUGCUCCAGAUUUCCUAUCAUUCCACAGCUGGAUUCAUUUAUAUUAUGUACAUACUCUAUUGUCGGCAACAAGAUCUACAUGUUAAGAAAAAGCAUAUCAUGAUGUUAUUCUUCUGAACAGGGUUCUACUGUAUAGUGUGAUUUGUGGUCCAUGGCGUUAACAGAAGGCCAGUCUACAGUCGGAGGCAAAAGUAAAUACUAUUCUGUAUGAUUACCAUUGGUAAUAUUGUUAUGUAGAUUUAGUUUUAUUAUUUAUACGUACAUUUAAAAAAACAAGGGGGAGAUUACACAGGAAGAGAUUUGGAUUUCCUCACUGUAUAUACCUUGAUUUAAAAAUGGAGUUUAAAGACUUCACAAGUUAAGAUUCUCUGCUGCCACUACUUUUAAAAUUAUCAAAGCGGAAGGAAUGGCUGGGAAUUUUUCUAUCUUGAUUUUUUACGUUUAAUUUAUUUGGUAAUCAAUUUGGUGAGGUUGGAUGGGUGGAGAUGUGACAAUUUCUUUUUUCAUUUAAGAAAAAAAAAGAGGAUUCUUGUGGUCUUCAAGACAAUGAACACACUUAUUAUAGAGUUUUUAAUUACAUAAAUGUACCUAUGGAAGUAAAAAAAAAAAACAUAAUGUUUCUUUAUUUAUUCUCUACAAUCGCUGUUUUAAAACAUAUGUCUUUAAAAGAAAAUAAAGUACAAUU
RNA transcript from Gymnodraco acuticeps, 3839 nucleotides. It is a transcript of the gene named cugbp, Elav-like family member 3a, with no coding region annotated. The transcript has 15 exons. Lineage: Eukaryota; Metazoa; Chordata; Actinopteri; Perciformes; Bathydraconidae. The record is from RefSeq and is a predicted model, not a curated record.